GGAGAUGGGCAAUUCCUUGCUGGAGCUAGAAGAGUGCAGAGGGGCUCCUGGCUGGCAAAGGGAAGACCAAUACAAUGGACAGCUCAGUGCUAGUAGAGACCAGAGGAGCAAGGAAGAGCUCCUGGCUGGCUACUGGGCCUGAGCUUAGAAAAGCCCUGAGCUAAUGCUUCCCACCAGUUCCUUCUCUUUGAAGAGGCAUACAUCAUCCAAUCGCUUCCCAACUGCCAAUUCCUGACCUAGUGGUCCAACCUGGGAAAUGGCAAGGGGACUGUCAGGAAAGGAAAGAAUGACUCAAGAUAAGCCACUUGAGCGUUGUUGAGGGAUAAUGCCAGAGGAGGAUCCUGGCUCCAUCUCCUAUUGAACCUACAGGCUGGGUUUGUCCAGAAGGGCCAAAGCUCAAGAAUGCAGAACAAAAAAAGAACUCUGGCUGUUUAAAAGGAGUGUGUCUCUUAAUGGACUGAAGAGCUGUUCUGGGUAACCAGACUGAGAGACAGGAACUUGCUGGCAUGUCUGAAGAAGUUAGGCCUGCCUAAGUUACCAUAAGGGGAUGGUAUCAACUGUUUGGUUUUUAAACCUUUUUUCCCCUAAAUACUUUGUUCUUACUGCAAAACAAACAACAUUUUUAGUUUAAGAAGGAUGUCUUGUCACUGUAGUCACUCCUAGACACAGGCUCCUGAAGGGAAGAACUGCAGGUGCCACACCCUGUCAGAUCUGGUGCGUAAGCCUGGUGGAUCCACAGGGGACUAUAGACCAGGGCCUGGGGCUAAGAGUGGAGGAAUUGUGAAAUGAUGAAGACAUGAGGUCUGGCACCUGGAAGAUGCAUUCAGAGAUACCGGAGUGGGGCAGUGGUACAGCUAGCCCUGUAAGUGUGACACCCAUUGUGUUGUAUCUCUGGGCAAUUAUUGUUUCGAACUGCAACGGAUUGCCAAUAACUGGAUUUGUUCUUUUCUAAGCCAGAUACAAGCAUGGGCCCUUCCUCCCAAAAGGGGGGGGGGAGAUUUGGUUUUGGGUGUGUGUUUGUUUUUUCACCUUAGAAAAUAGCAGGAAUGUCAAGUUUGGUCUUCCCUUCUUUUUCUGAAAGGCUUCUGGGCCAUCUUGAAGGUGUGUAUUGUGAGUACUCACAUCUUAACUGAAGGGGUGAGGCUAAGCUUUAAUAAAGACCCCCUUUCUCCAAAGAGUACUCUAGACAUCAGAAUUUAAUGUGUUUUCUGCUUGAAAAUCCCCACCCCCCACUUGCUUGAGUUUGUCUCUUGUGAUAUCAUCAUGUAACCAGUCCCCACAGUGUUUUCCAGAACGUUUUUUACUUAAGUUAAAAACAAAACACAACAAAACAGAUUUGUGUUAAACUAAAAA
This is a long non-coding RNA of Dermochelys coriacea (leatherback sea turtle), 1353 nucleotides long. RefSeq lists it as uncharacterized. The record is from RefSeq and is a predicted model, not a curated record. NCBI's taxonomy places the organism in Eukaryota, Metazoa, Chordata, Testudines, Dermochelyidae. The transcript is spliced from 3 exons.